Hydra vulgaris (swiftwater hydra) is the source of this 462-nucleotide long non-coding RNA. RefSeq lists it as uncharacterized. Lineage: Eukaryota; Metazoa; Cnidaria; Hydrozoa; Anthoathecata; Hydridae. The record is from RefSeq and is a predicted model, not a curated record.
AUUUUACUUUUUUAUUUAGCACAUUUCUAAAAUGUUUUUUGAAUUAGCCGCGUUCAAACCUUCAUAGCAAAAUGUAAAUUGCGUGGUCAUAUAAAGACGUGAAGUCGCACGUCUUUUUGUGAAAGCCUGAGUAUAAUGUAUCUAUCCAAAUAGUUUGAUAUCUUGAUCAAUAAUGAAGUAAAUUAGGCACGGAUCAAUGCAGUUACCUGAUGUUCUUAAUUAAAACGACACUGAACAAAGAUAGAAUUUAGACUGUUUGACGGUUACACUAUAUUGAUUGGAUCGUGGCAAAAUGUGCAUCAAAUCAAAAUGAGUCCGAUAACAGAAGGCGAUAAAAAUAAAUAUGAAUUUAAUAUUGGUGGUGAAGAUAACGAUAUGAUUUUAUCAAGAUUGUUUUAAAAAUAACUUUAAUUUUGUAAAAGUUUUUGUUCUAAAAAUGUAUAAAUUAUUUUUUUGGUUUUA